CUACGGGUUGCUCCAGUCGGGGAACUUUUGCAAUGCACGAAAGUGUGACAAAGCAAGCCAGAGUGUUUCUUUUAUUAAAGAAACUUUUGUCAGCUGUAAAAAGGCUGACGAAUAAGGACUGGGUAAGACCGGUGCCAGCCGCCGCGGUAAUACCGGCGGUCCGAGUCGCAGCCAUCAUUAUUGGGUCUAAAACAUCCGUAGCUUGUUUUACAAGUCUCUUGUGAAAUCUGACAUCUCAAGUGUCAGGCGUGCAAGAGAUACUGUAUCACUAGAGACCGGAAGACGUAAGGAGUACGACAAAGGUAGUGGUAAAAUACGUUAAUCUUUGUUGGACUAACAAUGGCGAAGGCACCUUACGAGGACGGAUCUGACAGUGAGGGAUGAAGGCCAGGGGCGCAAAACGGAUUAGAUACCCUCGUAGUC
This 423-nucleotide ribosomal RNA is filed under the name uncultured archaeon. RNAcentral describes it as "partial 16S ribosomal RNA". It matches the Rfam family "Archaeal small subunit ribosomal RNA", at positions 323 to 746 of the family's 1478-position model. The record is from RNAcentral.